This 253-nucleotide ribosomal RNA is filed under the name uncultured bacterium. Its description in RNAcentral is "partial 16S ribosomal RNA". It matches the Rfam family "Bacterial small subunit ribosomal RNA", at positions 524 to 776 of the family's 1533-position model. The record is from RNAcentral.
UACGGGGGGGGCAAGCGUUGUUCGGAAUUACUGGGCGUAAAGGGCUCGUAGGUGGCCAACUAAGUCAGACGUGAAAUCCCUCGGCUUAACCGGGGAACUGCGUCUGAUACUGGAUGGCUUGAGAUUGGGAGAGGGAUGCGGAAUUCUAGGUGUAGCGGUGAAAUGCGUAGAUAUCUGGAGGAACACCGGUGGCGAAGGCGGCAUCCUGGACCAACACUGACACUGAGGAGCGAAAGCCAGGGGAGCAAACGGG